AUUGAACGCUGGCGGCAGGCCUAACACAUGCAAGUCGAACGGUAACAGGAAACAGCUUGCUGUUUCGCUGACGAGUGGCGGACGGGUGAGUAAUGUCUGGGAAACUGCCUGAUGGAGGGGGAUAACUACUGGAAACGGUAGCUAAUACCGCAUAACGUCGCAAGACCAAAGAGGGGGACCUUCGGGCCUCUUGCCAUCGGAUGUGCCCAGAUGGGAUUAGCUAGUAGGUGGGGUAACGGCUCACCUAGGCGACGAUCCCUAGCUGGUCUGAGAGGAUGACCAGCCACACUGGAACUGAGACACGGUCCAGACUCCUACGGGAGGCAGCAGUGGGGAAUAUGGCACAAUGGGCGCAAGCCUGAUGCAGCCAUGUCGCGUGUAUGAAGAAGGCCUUCGGGUUGUAGAGUACUUUCAGCGGGGAGGAAGGGAGUAAAGUUAAUACCUUUGCUCAUUGACGUUACCCGCAGAAGAAGCACCGGCUAACUCCGUGCCAGCCGCCGCCGUAA
Molecule: ribosomal RNA, 506 nt
Filed under: uncultured bacterium
Lineage: Bacteria
Description: partial 16S ribosomal RNA
Rfam family: Bacterial small subunit ribosomal RNA
Source: RNAcentral